AAUAGACGUCGCGAAGGCUAAAUAUUGCGUCAUUGCCUGUUGCAGAAAAUCAUAACGAAGGAUUCUGUUUCCUUCCUUAAUAUCAAUAUGUUUGAUUAAAUAAUUAGAGAUAAAAUGGAUCAAUCCAUGCGUCAUAAUUCUGAAAGCGAAGUUGAUAUAAUUGAAAAUAAACAACCUUUGAAAAGAUUGCAAAUUGCUUUACAUAGAAUCGUUAAAGUUUCGAUUCCGUUACAUCUCGAUUUGCUCAGUAAACACAAAGAAAACAUUGAAAAGGAGGAUAUGUGGUUUCUUCAAGACGGAGCACCAGCACAUAACAGUGGCCAUGUUGUCCUG
RNAcentral lists this long non-coding RNA (333 nucleotides) under Androctonus crassicauda. The record is from RNAcentral. Lineage: Eukaryota; Metazoa; Arthropoda; Arachnida; Scorpiones; Buthidae.